AUGUACAUGCGCGGCACAUGACAGGUUUAGGGUAUGUUUGUUUCAACGUAAGUAGACUUAGGGUGGAAGUGGACUUUGGAUUGAAGUGGAGUUGGGGUGAAAAUUAGUUCACUUCUGCUGUUUGUUUCUAACUGUGGAAGUGCAGUUCUGCGAGUUCUGUUGUUUGUUUGGUAGGAAGUAGAUGACGUAAAAAGUAUAGCUCUUCACCCCCGGUAUACUUACCUCCUAAGUGAUAUUAUUGUCUAUUCUGUAACUUAUAGUGAAUAAUAAAUUAUAAUAAAUAAAAAUUAAUAUAAUUAUAUAUGUAUAUAAUUAUAUAUAUGUAUAAUUAUAAAAUAAAAUUUUAAAAAAUUAUAUUAUUUGUUUGCAUAUAAAUUAUAAUAAUGCAACAAAUAAAAUUCUAAAGUUAAAAAAUUAUUAACAUUUAACAAAUUCAUUUUUCAUCAUUUUCUAAAUAUACAUAUUAAACAAAAAAUAUAUUAAAACUUAUCUAACUAAAUUUGAUCAUAUUUUAGACAUACAAUCAAAAUAAAAAAUUUAAUUACUUCCACAAUUGAACAUAUUUGGAUGAAAGGGUAGAGAAGAGGUAACCCUUAUACAUUAAUCCCACUCUUGCCUUUUUUUCACUUCACCGGAAUUGACUUCGCCCCGUGGGAGGGCGAAGUCAAUUUUAUUAUUUUGGAUGAACUGGACUUUCGGGCGUAAUAAAAUUACGGUGAACCAAACAACGGAAGUGGGCAGUUUUCACCGAAAAUUACUUCCCCUUCCCACUUCCACCCCACUUUCGCGCAAACAAACAGGCCAUUAACGGAGAAGUUAAUUGCGACUAGGUGUAACGGAAAAUAAAAAUAAAAACCACAGGGUGACUAAGCGAUCAUACAUUUGAAAUGACAUAAUACUAAAGUUUUUUUAUUUUUUUUUACCUUUUUAAAAAAAAUAAUGUGUGCGCAAAAUGGGGCCCAUGCAACAUAAUUGAGCCUCCCUAAUGUAGCAUUUCGGUUUGUCAUUUGUAAUGGAGGAUCAAGUGAUGAUACAAUUAAGGAAUUAAUUAUGGGUGAAUCAAAUCUCCAAAAUCAGGAAUCUACUAACUUUGACAAGUAUUCAAAUCAUAAGCAAUUGUGGAAACUCAAGAAUGACAAUCUCUUCAGUAUGGCAACCACUCCAAAUAGAAAAUAUUUGGAUUCAAAUAUUGUACAUUUAUAGAAUGUAAUUAUGUAAAUAUUGUAAUCCCAAGAAUAACGGGAUUAUAUUUUGUAUUCAAUAAUUGUAUAUAUUGAAAGUUGGUUUUGUGUGUU
Molecule: long non-coding RNA, 1295 nt
Filed under: Ananas comosus (pineapple)
Lineage: Eukaryota; Viridiplantae; Streptophyta; Magnoliopsida; Poales; Bromeliaceae
Description: long non-coding RNA (ACOM_LNC021931)
Source: RNAcentral